RNAcentral lists this ribosomal RNA (435 nucleotides) under uncultured bacterium. RNAcentral describes it as "partial 16S ribosomal RNA". It matches the Rfam family "Bacterial small subunit ribosomal RNA", at positions 29 to 507 of the family's 1533-position model. The record is from RNAcentral.
AGCGAACGCUGGCGGCAGGCUUAACACAUGCAAGUCGAGCGGGCACUUUCGGGUGUCAGCGGCGGACGGGUGAGUAACGCGUGGGAACGUGCCCUCUGGUUCGGAAUAACUCAGGGAAACUUGAGCUAAUACCGGAUACGCCCUUUUGGGGAAAGGCUUGCUGCCGGAGGAUUGGCCCGCGUCUGAUUAGCUAGUUGGUGAGGUAACGGCUCACCAAGGCGACGAUCAGUAGCUGGUCUGAGAGGAUGAUCAGCCACACUGGGACUUAGACACGGCCCAGACUCCUACGGGAGGCAGCAGUGGGGAAUAUUGGACAAUGGGCGCAAGCCUGAUCCAGCCAUGCCGCGUGAGUGAUGAAGGCCUUAGGGUUGUAAAGCUCUUUUAUCCGGGACGAUAAUGACGGUACCGGAGGAAUAAGCCCCGGCUAACUUCGUG